GAUGAACGCUGGCGGCGUGCCUAAUACAUGCAAGUCGAGCGAACAGAUGAGGAGCUUGCUCCUCUGACGUUAGCGGCGGACGGGUGAGUAACACGUGGGUAACCUACCUAUAAGACUGGGAUAACUUCGGGAAACCGGAGCUAAUACCGGAUAACAUUUAGAACCGCAUGGUUCUAUAGUGAAAGAUGGUUUUGCUGUCACUUAUAGAUGGACCCGCGCCGCAUUAGCUAGUUGGUAAGGUAACGGCUUACCAAGGCAACGAUACGUAGCCGACCUGAGAGGGGGGUCCGCCACACUGGGACUGGGGCACGGGCCAGACUCCCACGGGAGGGAGGAGGAGGGAAUCUUCCGGCAUGGGCGGAAGCCUGACGGAGCAACGCCGCGGGAGGGAAGAAGGGUUUCGGAUCGGAAAACCCUUGUAUUAGGGGAGAACAAAAGGGGAAGGAACUGUGCACGUCUUGACGGGAACUAAUCAGAAAGCCACGGCUAACUUCGUG
RNAcentral lists this ribosomal RNA (497 nucleotides) under uncultured bacterium. RNAcentral describes it as "partial 16S ribosomal RNA". It matches the Rfam family "Bacterial small subunit ribosomal RNA", at positions 28 to 507 of the family's 1533-position model. The record is from RNAcentral.